This 510-nucleotide ribosomal RNA is filed under the name uncultured bacterium. RNAcentral describes it as "partial 16S ribosomal RNA". It matches the Rfam family "Bacterial small subunit ribosomal RNA", at positions 28 to 507 of the family's 1533-position model. The record is from RNAcentral.
GACGAACGCUGGCGGCGUGCUUAACACAUGCAAGUCGAACGAAGAGCGAUGGAAGCUUGCUUCUAUCAAUCUUAGUGGCGAACGGGUGAGUAACGCGUAAUCAACCUGCCCUUCAGAGGGGGACAACAGUUGGAAACGACUGCUAAUACCGCAUACGAUCUAACCUCGGCAUCGAGGAUGGAUGAAAGGUGGCCUCUAUUUAUAAGCUAUCACUGCAGGAGGGGAUUGCGUCUGAUUAGCUAGUUGGAGGGGUAACGGCCCACCAAGGCGAUGAUCAGUAGCCGGUCUGAGAGGAUGAACGGCCACAUUGGGACUGAGACACGGCCCAGACCCCUACGGGAGGCAGCAGUGGGGAAUCUUCCGCAAUGGACGAAAGUCUGACGGAGCAACGCCGCGUGAGUGAUGACGGCCUUCGGGUUGUAAAGCUCUGUUAAUCGGGACGAAAGGCCUUCUUGCGAAUAGUUAGAAGGAUUGACGGUACCGGAAUAGAAAGCCACGGCUAACUACGUG